Long non-coding RNA from Hevea brasiliensis (rubber tree), 1161 nucleotides. RefSeq lists it as uncharacterized. The transcript has 2 exons. Lineage: Eukaryota; Viridiplantae; Streptophyta; Magnoliopsida; Malpighiales; Euphorbiaceae. The record is from RefSeq and is a predicted model, not a curated record.
CCCAUUUAAUAAAAAGUAUAUCACAAUAAUACCAUUUAAUAAGAAAAGCAUAUCACAAUUACAAAUUUACAAUACCCAUUUAAUAAAAAAGCACAUAACAACAAUACCCAUUUAAUAAUAAAAGCAUAUCACACUAAAUAUUUAACAAAUUUAACAAAAAAAAAAAUGAAAGUUCUGGACUGGUAGUAAUAGGUUGCACAGCGUGAAGAGAUUCAACAGCAUAAGAGGAGGAGGAGACAAAAGAAGAAAAAAAUUAAAAAGUAAAAAAAAUCAUCUGAUCUGGAUUGCUGUGGCGCAGCGUCAGAGUGAAAGGAGAAGAAGGUAGAAGAAGAGUAGAAGAGAGAGGGAAAAGAAUGUGAAGAUGAGAGAGAGAGAGAGAGAGAGAGAGAGAGAGAAAGAAUGGAAGGAAGAAAUACCUGGUUUCUUUGCAAUCUGCUGUCUAUGGCAUUAAGUUCCUUCUCUAAGGUUGUCGCGUGUGGCGGUAUUUUUUUGGCCCCUGCGGACGGAGGAAGGCCACUUUCCCCUUCCCGGUCAGUGGGUCUCCCUCCUUACCAGUGGGAAGGGUUGUAUAUUAGGUUUUUUAUUAUCAUGGUUGAGGAGCAGGCGUUCAUUCGUGAGGGAUUUUUUUAAAGCUGCCAAUAGAUCUUGAUUUUGUUUUGCUUUGUCUUUCUCUGUUUUGUUUUGCAAGUUACAUAUCUAGUGGUGUAUGGUGGAGGUGAAGUUGCGCGGUGGAUUGAGGGGCGCAGUUCAGAAGGCUGACCCAGAAUGGGCAAAUGAGAGGCCAAAGAACACCAUUGUUAUCCUAUCCUCUGUUCUUGUUGGUUUUCAUCCACUGGAGAUUUUUGUUUUAGCCUGGGUUGGACUGCCUUGAGACCUUCGAGAUGGGUUUAUGAAAAGAAAUCUCUCCGAGCAUAGUUAGACAAAAAUGGUUGCCGAUCUGUGUUGAUGAGGCUUUUCUGGUGUUUAACUUGAGCAGGCUGUUUGUGUUGAGCCGAAAGAUGAUGACAGCAAUAUGGAGCUUCUGCUCCUUGAUAUGCCAGGUCAGGGUCAACCAAGGUCGAAUACCCGGUGUCUCUAGGAUUUGCUUUGUCGGCUUAGACCUUGUCUUGGGUGUUGUGCAUUUAUUACUAAUUGUUAUCACCUCUUGUGAACUUUUAUUUA